Long non-coding RNA from Aedes albopictus (Asian tiger mosquito), 19680 nucleotides. RefSeq lists it as uncharacterized. Lineage: Eukaryota; Metazoa; Arthropoda; Insecta; Diptera; Culicidae. The record is from RefSeq and is a predicted model, not a curated record. The transcript is spliced from 3 exons.
CAAAAAUGCGAAUACUCUCGAUUCAACGUUUUCUCUCAUUCUCGCCAUUGCUAAAAAAUCAUCUCUCUCACACCGUGGCAAGAAAAUAACAAAAACACAUGCAUUCUUGAGGCUAGAAUCACAACAAACCAAUGCAUGCCGGUUGCUCUUGCCGCUCAGUUCUGGCAAACUCUCUUGCUCUUCUCCUCUUUCACCGUUUAUCGCUCACUUUUCCCACGCUUCUGCUCCAUUCGCGUUCUCUCUCUCGAUAUGGUCCAAACGCCCGACGGCGAAACGACACGAUUUCUCACACACGCAAUCUUCUCCUCAAGCGCGCGACCGAGUCCUUAUGCUUCUUCGUCCAUGUUGGUUCCCGUGCUCUGGUGGCGGCCACACACAGUCAAGUCAUCCCUUGCGUGUGCAUUGCUUCGUCAGUCUCGGUACGCUAGUCUAGUCGUUUGGACGUGUGUGGCGUACGCCGUUUUCUCUCUCUCGCUGGGUGCUUACGGCGGUGGUCAUUGGGCGCGGAUUCCGAGUUCUUGGUGCUAAGGCUUUUGCAUAAACAGGUUCCCCGUAAUCGAUUUGGGGCUAUUGUUCCCCCAUGUGAGUGGUGUUGAUUGAUAUUUAGACCAACGACGACGGUGUGACAACUGUGACCAAUUGAAGGGAAGGUGAAGGUGCACUGAGAGUGAAGAACUGGCGGAAUCCUUUCCAGCAGAUAUUGCAGAGAUUAACGAAGCAGAGUGAAGGGAAGAUCUGACCGGUGCGAUAAUGAUGCUCUUUCGUGCGGCGAUGUUUGCGGUCAAGGGAAGAUCGAUGUGAAAUAGUAAGGGGAAAAAACGAGCGCCUGUGUGGAAGAAGAAAGUACGGUUGCAGGGCAGCAGUGAGACGAGUUAAUUGGUAUACUGAUUUAAUCAGCUGUUGGGUUUUGGAGAGCGUGGAGUUUAACGGAUCAAGUGCAGCAGGUGGAGAAGAGGAAAGUGAAUGUUGUGUAUAAUUUCAAUUAACAAAAUUGUUUACAAGAUUGCUCAGUGAAGUUCAACAAGGCAGUCAAACAAGUGCGGAACAAAUUAAAAAAAAAACUACAAAGCAUCCGUCAGUCGGUAGUUUUGGGAACGUGAAAUUCCACGAUUGUUCAUUAAGCCAGCACAGCAAACGAAAAGCUAAACAGUUCCAACGUUUUGAUGGAGGAAAAACUUAUUGCCAGACCGAAUUAAACGAGCGUAAACGUUGUUCGAGAAAGGAAAAACUUUGCUGCACUUAUUUAUGCACAUAAAUUGUACGACUUGCCCGAAGAAUCUGUCUAUUAGUGAGUGUGGCAUCGCGGUAUGUUGUGAGAAGCUAAAUAGAAGAAGGUGAAACCUUUAGGCGCGGCGAAUAGUAAGCAAAUGCAGAAGAAAAGAAGGCAGACAACUUGAAGGCAGUGAAUUUAAUCAGCAACAAUAACAAAAUAAAAGCACCUCGUUAAAAAGGAGGCAAAUAGAAAAAGAGAUACGAAGCACGACAGUAGAUCGGAAAAGACCUCCAGAUGCAGUGAGGAGCGGUUUCAUUCGACAUUAAUAAAACAAUGAUAUUUAAACAUGACCGUAAAAUAUGCAAAUAGAGUUUCAUAAUAGAAAGAAGGAAGAAAGGAAAACACACGUCACACAACUGUCGCGACCAGUUCGCUUUGAAAGAACAACGACAACAGAAGAAACGACAGCAGAAGGAGAAAAAACCUAUUGAUUUCCCGUCCCAGUCCCUAUCGCUGCAGUGGAGUUCCAUACAUCUUGCGCCGCCACGAGACGUCGAAUGUCGUUUGAUCUUUAUCACAAAAGGAAGUCGAAGCCGGAGAAUCGUGAUUAGUGCGCGCGUGUGGCGGAACGGAAUCGAGCAUUCGUAGUUCGAUAAAAAUGAGUUAUUUCCUACCAUAGACGAUUGUCGGAAAGUGCGAUCAAUUCUGCUCGAUUGGGAGAGUUGGGAAAGUGAAUUUGUUUGAAAGUUUCGUGUCAGUGAAGUGUGAUUAAAGAAGAUUGAAUAUUUGCUGAAAAGUGAGCUGUAGCCUGGAGUAUCAUUAGCUGUAUUUCACACCCAGAGACCAGUACAUUCCUGUCUUCUUGUCAUCGGAUUGUUGAAAGAUGGAUCAUCUGUUUAUUAAAAGGUCAGUGAACAAUUGAAGCCCAAAUUUAACAGCAAUCUUUACGUUUGACUUCAGGUAAAUUAUAUGCAGUACUAAUUAUACAUUAUAAUUACACUAAUACACUAGUACCUCUUUUUAUGCAUGCUAUUUUUAUGCAUAAAAGAGAGAAAGCUACUCAGACCCAAUAUUGUGGAGAAGAAAAUUUAGUAAUAACGAUAACUAAUGCAACGGUUACAGGUACGUUUAUUGAGGUUUCCAAGGGUCUCACGUGUGUUACAUGGAGUCUGCGUGGGUGUUAAGGGGUUUUCAGAGUCAUUUUAAGAAGUCUCAUAGCAUUUUAGGUUAGUUUCAGAGGCGUUGCGGAGGCGUUUUUGGAGGGGAGGGUGGGGGUUUCCAAGGAUCUCAGGUGCGUUACAUGGGGUCCGAAGUGGUUUAAGGGUGAUAUUAGAAGCAUUGCAGGUCCAGGCAUUUCCGGAUGCUGCAGAGCAUUUACGACGGGAUUCGAAGGCGUUACGCAGAUAUUUUCGGAGGGUCUCAGAUGCGCUUCAUGAGGUCCGAGGGGGUUUUUGGAGGUUUUCGGAGGCACUUCAGAAAGUCUUAGAGGAUUUUCAGAGACCCCAUCACAAUAUCUUUCGAAACGUCCCUGAAACGCCCUUUGUUUUUGGAGUGUUCUAGAACCCCCUUGAUAUGGUCCUGACCUGAUAUGCCUCAAAACUCCCCUGAAAGCAUCAAAAUAAAUUUGAAAUACCUCUGAAACCCUUUUGGACGCCUUUAAUGGGCUUCAGAAACCCCCUGAAACGCACCUGAAAACGCCUUGAAACGCCCCUGAAAUGUUACAAAACGCCUCUGGAAUGCUACCAAACGCCCUUAACCCUCUAAUAGAUACCUGGGGUCCAUUUGGACCCCAGGCAACUUUGGAGUAAUAGCAAACAAGUUGGGUAUAACAUAUUGACUUUAUUUUUUUAAUACCUUCAAACUAGACCUAGUUCUAUAGAGAUAAUUGACAUUUCAACACACGAACACUAGCGCAAAUUUUUCCUCACACAAAAGUGCACGCCGAUUGAAAGGCUAUUCAGAUUGCAUAUGCAAAUAUUGCCGAAUCGAAUUGGGUUAAACGGGUAAAUAAUAAUAAAACUAGCGUCCGGGGUAAGAGUGCAAAUAUUUUCCUCGCAGUUUCACAACUACAUCUACAAAAAAGGCACGCAUACAUUUGAACGUGAUUACCACUAUUAUUAAAGCAAAAAUAAAGUUGAUUUCAUGGCAUACUUUUAUUUUUAUUCCAUGUCAAAGUUGAACCGGGCGAUUUUGUAUACCUGGGGUCCAUUUGGACCCCAAAUUGAAUUCUCUAUAUCUUUUGAUUCUGAUGUUUUAGAAUAUUCAAGUCUUCGGCAAAUUUGUUCGGUAAGUCAUGCGCCAUCUGGCGGUAAAUUGGUAAAUUUGAAAUUUCCUCACUAGAUGGCGCUAUUUGGCAUAAACAAUUUAGUAAUAUAAUGUCUUCAAACGAAAUUAUCGGAAGAUCUAGAGCUUGUAGAAGCGUCACGUCUUCGGGAAAGUUGUUUAGUAAGUCGCGCGCUUACAGAUAAUGGACCGAUUGAUUCGAAAUUCCACCACUAGGUGGUGCUAGUGAGCAAAUAAAUUUUGUAUCUCAUUAAUCACUGGAUCCUUAUCACUUGGAAAGAUGAUGCCUUCGAGAAAGUUUUUGUGUUUGUCAAUUAAUGUCAGAUGAUGGGCCGUUUGAUUUGAAACUCCACACAUAGGUGGCGCUAGUGAGCAUGCAAAUUUUACAUCUCAUAUCUCUCAAGAUCCUGAUCACAUAGAAAGAUGGUGUGUUCGGCAAAGUUGUUUCAUAGGUCAAGAACUUACAUAUGAUGCAAAAUUUGAUUCAGAAAUCCACACAUAUGUGACGGCACUGAGUAUGCAAAUUUUAUACUUCAAAUAUCCCAUGGUCCUAAUAACUCUCUUACCGUCUCUACUAUCUUCAGCAAAGAUGUUUGGUAAGUCAAGAAUUUACAGAUAAUGGACCGUUUUGUUCUUUCACUAGAUGACGCUAGUGAUACAAAUAUUGAAUCAUUUUUACAUCAGGAUUCAGAUUAUUUAGUAAAAUUGAAGAUUCUGCAAAUAAGUUCCAAGAACUUAUAAAUGAUGAGUCGUUUUACUCUGAAUUUUGCUCAUAGGUGGCGUCAGUGGGCAUGCAAUUUGUAUAUCUCAUAUAGCAGAAGAGCCUACAAGUGAUAAUCUCAAUGCAAAAUUUCUACGCGCACUCAGAAAAAAAAACACCACUCAGUGCACACACAGUGUGUUCACAGGGUGCUGUUCAAAUAUUUUGAUGAAUCAAACGCAUACCAGUGGAUCCCAAAAAAAGCUAAGCGACAUCACAUCUUGUGAUAUCAGAGACAAACAGACACAACAAUUACACAAUUUCUCACCCAUAUAUCUUAGGGUUUUAAUUACUUGGAGUGAUGGUUUGCUCGGCAAUACUGUUAAGCUGGUCGAGGACUAGCUGUUGAUGGGCCGUUUGAUUCGAAAUUUUACUAGUAGGUGGCGCUAAAGAGCCUUUUUUUAAUCUCAGGACGCUGGUAACUUAGAAAGAUGGUUUCCACGGCAAAACUGUUUGGUAAGUUAAGAGCUUACAGUUUGAUGAUGCAAAAUUUCAUCUCUAGGCGAUGCUAGUUACAAAUUUAGUAACAAAUAGGUUACAAAUAGGUUGCAAAUGAUUAGAAUUUCUAAAAACUUAUUCAACAAGCUGUCACUUUUUUCUCUUCAGAAAACUUUGAGUUAAGCCAAAUGGUAUACGAAGACCAAUUUAUUAGUCAUACAUUUUCAAAAUUUCAUUAAAUUUGGUUAACUUAACCCUAAGAUAUAGUAGUUUAUUGGACUGCAGUGAAAUUAGAAGAAUUUUACUAGAAACACUUCAACUUCACGUGGAGUUAAACUAUCAAGCCCAAUUUUGUACCAAUUAUAGCUAACUAGUUGGGGAUGUUGCAGUCAAAAUUUGGUGCACUUAAUUAAAAGUUAUAGUUUGUUAAAAUUUUCUGGGUAAUACUUAAAAUUUCUAUGUUUUGUAAAUUUGCUACUAGCGCCACCUAAUGACAGAAACUCGAAACAAAUAAUAAUUCACCUUGAUUUUCUUAACAGCUUUGCCGAAGAUACCAUAUUUCUAAAUAAUCAGGAUCCUGAGAUUUGUAAAAUUUAAAAUUUGCUACGCCUAGUGGUAGAAUUUCUAAUCCACUACGACUCAAGCGCUGCUCUCUCUCUUGCUCAAACAGUAUGUCACACCAUCGAGUAUAUUUGACGAUGCCAUCCGCACGGCCACAAGUUUGCCAUGUAAGUAGAACAAACAUAUACCCACACAUAAAUUGUACUCAUUGUCACUAUGUUUUGCAGCUUGAGCCACGACGCAAAAAGUAACUUGUUCAACAAAAUGGGUAAAGUUAUGGCAAUGAAUGCUGAGAUAUAUGACAUAUUUAAUGUGCAUGCUCGGUACCGCCACCUACAUGUGGAGUUCCGAAUUAUACGGUCUAUUAACUGUAAGUCGUUGAUCUACCCAACAACUUUGCCGAAAACUUCAAGUUUCUUUGAGCUCAGAAUCCUGAAAUAUAUGGCAUAUACAAUUUUCAUGCUGACCAUCUACGUAUUACGAAUUUCUAAAUUGAACGGCCCAUGAUCAGUAGGUAUUUGGCCUACGCAACAACUUUUCCGAAGACUACAUCUUUCUAAGUGAUCAGCAUCCCGCGAUAUAUGAGAUAUAUGAAAUAUGCGCGCUCAGUAACGCCACCUAUACGUGGAGUUCCAAAUCAAAUGCUACAUCACCUGUAAGUCCUUGACGAACCCAACAACUAUGCCGGAGAUAUCAUCUUUCUAGGUGCUCAAGAUCCUGAUAUAUAAAAUAUAAAAUUUGCUCGAUUAGUUGCGCAAUCUAUGUGUGAAAUUUUCAAACAAACGCGCCAUCAUUAGUAAACACUUGACCCUAUAAACUACUUUGCCAAAGACACCAAAUUUCUAUGUGGUCAGGAUCUUGAUAUAUAUGUGCUCAAAUACUGAAUACUUACAUGCUCACUAGCGCCACCUAUGUAUGAAAUUCCAAAUUAAACGGUCCAGCAGCUGUAAGUCCUUAACCAAUCCAUCAACUUUUUUGAAUACACUGAUAUUCUAAUAAAUCAGGAAACACCCCUAAAACCCCCUUAAUACUAUUGAAAUGCCACUGAAUUCCUCGUUAAAACGCCAACAAAACCUGACAGAAUGCCCUCAAUAGGCUCCUGAAAACCCCUGAAGCAACCCCCUGAAACGCACCUGAAGCCUCUUGGAACCCCCGCUGGCCUCUUUGAUUUUUCAGGAAACCCCCAUUCCAAAUGGCCAGGACCGGACCCUUUUGUCGCGAACUAGAUUCCCUCAUAAAAGCGCAGACUCAAUUCAUGCACAAAUUUCCCUUUUUUAUGCUUUUUGCCUUUCUCGUACACUAAGUGUACUGGAAAGGCUAUAUGUUCACUCCAAAAAUGACUUUUCGAUAGAAGGCCCGGAGGGUCGAGUCACAUAUACCAAUCAACUCAGCUGAACGAAUUGAGGUGAUGUCUGUGUGUAUGUAUGUGUGUGUAUGUAUGUGUGUGUAUGUAUGUGUGUGUGUAUGUGUGUAUGUGUGUGUACAAAAAAACUCACAUCACUUUUUGGCAGUAAACCUGAACCGAUUUUAAUGACCGACGGGUUAUUCGACGGGGAAUCUGGUCCCAUUGUUUCCUAUUGAAAAUGGUUUGGAUCGGUCCAGCCGUUCCGGAGUUAUGGCCAUUUAGGUGUUCCGGAUCGGUACCCCAGGAAGGGGCCAGAUAUGAAAACGUUACAAACCCAUCCAUGCGACACAUCAAACUACGGCAUUUUCGAUAACUUGAUGAACGGUAAGCAGAAAAAUGGUCUCAGACCAUAUUUGAACCGGUAGUGUCCCGGAACCGGUUCCGGGUGUCCCGCCGGAAGUGGCCAAACAUAAAAGUGCACUAAACCCAUGCAUGCGGCAUAUCAAACCGCAGCUUUUUGGAUACCCUGAUGAACAGUAAGAAAGAAUACAUUCUCAGACCAUAUUGGAACCGGUAGUAUUCCAGAACCGGUUCCAGAUGUCCCGCUGGAGGUGGUCAAGUAUAAAAGUUAACCAAACCCAUGCAUGCAGUGGCUUUUUUGACAUUCUGAUGAAAGGUAAGCAGGAAAAUAUUCUCAGACCAUAUUUGAACCGGUUGUGUUCCGGAACCGGUUCCGGGUGUCCCGCCGGAAGUGGCCAAAUAUGAAAUUGUACUAAAACCAUGCAUGCGACAUAUCAAACCGCGGCUUUUUCGAUAACCUGAUGAACAGUAUGCAAGAAAGCUUUCUCAGAACAUAUCGGAACCAGUAGUGUUCCGGAACCGGUUCCAGAUGUCCCACCAGAGGUGGUCAAGUUUAAAAGUUAACCAAACCCAUACAUGCGACAUAUCAAAUAGUGGCUUUUUUGAUAUCCUGAUGAACAGUCAGCAGGGAAAUAUUCUCAGACCAUAUGUAUUUGAACCGGUAGUGAUCCGUAACCAGUUCCGAGUGUCCCGCCGAAAAUGAUCAAACGAAAAAGUGAACCAAACCCAUUCGACAAAUCAAAUCGCGGAUUUUUAAGGUAUCUUGAUUGGCAAAAAAAAGUUUCUGGCCAUAUUUGAAACAACCGGUAGUAUUCCUCACCGAUUAAGGGUGCCCCAUCGGAAGUGAUCAAAUGUAAAGGAGAACCAACCCCAUAAAUAGCUGUUUUGGUAACCUGAUGAACGGUUAACAAGAGAAACAAUCAUAGACCACACUUUGGAAAACCAAUACUUUGCCGAAACCGGUUCCAGGUGCUCCGCCGGAAGUAGUCAAAUGUAGAACGGAACCAAACGCAUGCACACCGCGCAUUAAAUAUCGGCUUUUUCGAUGACGCGCAGAACGGUCAGCAAGAAAAGUCUCAGGCCACUUUAAGACUACCGGUAGUGUACCGGAACCACAUUCGAGUGUCUCGCCGGAACUGGCGAAAUGCACAAAUAAGUGUUUGACAGUACAUCAAAUAGCAGCUUUUUUGAAUACACGAUGAUCAAUUCGUAAGAACAUAGCCUCAGACCAUAUUUUAGACAACCGGUAGUGUCCCGAAACCAGUUCUGGGUGUCCCACUGGAAGUGGGCAAAUGUAAAAGUGAUCUAUACCCACCCAUGCAUGAGAUAAAUCAAAUCGUGUUUUUUUGAGUAACCUAAUGAACGUUAGCAAUGAAAUAGUCUCAGACUAUAUUUGGGAGACCCGGUGUGCUCCGGAACCUGUUCCGGUACCGCAUCGAAAGUAACCAAAUGUACCAUGCAACAUAUUACAUCACGGCUUUUUGAAUAACCCGAGGUACGGUUAACUAGAAAAUAGGCUCACACCACAUUACAGACUACCGGUAGGGUUGCACAACCAGCGUUUGGUGCUUCGCCGGAACUACGAAAGUAAAUAAAAUCAAUGCAAGCGAUAAAUAUGUGUAAGAGAACAAAAUCUUACAAAUUAAACCCACAUACAAACAGACGUCGCACUAUACUCACUACCUAUUGCUCUUGUUUUCAACGGUCAAUAAGAUAUAGCCCAAAUGUUCAGAAAAAAAAAAUUGUGAUCUCUGAUUGUGUAAAGAGUUAUAGAUUAGCUUGUUAGUAUCGUCUUGAUAUUGAUCAGCCUCCAGUGUUAGUGAAGGUGCUCAACAAAGUGCUCAAGCAGUCAACUGAGAAGUCUGAUAUUUUUCAGCCCUGCUUAUACGUUGAACAUAACGUCGGACUAUGUGCAAUCAAUAAGUUUUAAGUCAAUUCUAUAAAAAUAUUCGGAUUCUGAAACACUUUGACUUACGUUGUCGGAAAGAUUGUGAGAACAUGUUCGACGAGAAAGGCACUAUCACCACUAGGUGGAUUAAUUCGGGUUUUUUUUAAUUCAUACACCCCUAGCCAUAUACAAAAAAGGGGGACCGGUGUUCACAGAUAAGUUGCAUUUCAUCACAUUUUAAAUGACACAAAAUCAAAAUUCAAAUACCUCGCACUACACUUUUUCCAGUCGACUUUUGUUCUCCCGAAAGCGGCGUUUCUGUUCAUAUCGUACCACGUUCUGCCGGGUUCUUGCAGCAGCAUUACCGUCCACGCUGCGUUCUUCUCCUUCAAAAUCACUCUGCACUCAUGAUCGAACCAUUCGUUUCAUCGAUUUCGUUCCACGCAUUCUAUGGCACUCUCGGCUGCGUCCUCUUUUUCUUCUUUUAGUCCUGAGCACCCAUGUUGGAGGAGAGGGCCGAAAUUGAAUAUCGUCAACCUGGGCGAUUGCCCGUCAAUUUCUGGAAAUUUCCAUUUUCACUGUUAAGGUUAUGCCACCAUGAGCCUCUGGGUCUGCUUCUGCUGCGCUGUCCUGCUAGGUUCAAAUCUAACACUUGUUUGAAGAUUUCGUUCCCUGUCUCUAUGUAGAGUGUUGCCGAUCCCCCUCCGCUACCGGAUUCCAGUCGCUAUAGGCUUUUGAUGACAUCGACGAUGGAGCUCCACGUUGGAGAUUCAAUUGUGAGGCCACCAUGCACAAAUUAUAUACCGCAGGCAUUUAUUGAUGAAGACCUGCAUCCGUUGAGUGUUCUCCACUGAUACACACAAGGUUUCACUGGCGUACAGCAGUACAAAUUUUACAUUUUUAUUCGGAUUUUGGUGCGUCGACUAAACUGAUUGUUCCUUCAUACGUUUCUUAAGAUCCGCGAAAUCUGCAAUCUGCUUCUCGGAUCAACGUGGAUCAUCGUCUUUAAACUCAACUUCACGUCGAACCGAUUUGCUGACGUGCUUCCACAUGCUUUGAGGAAUCUCAUCCAACGAAUUUCCAUGCACGCAACCUUGGUUCAAUUCCUUUGGCCGCAGCUGACUUUUACAUACAUAGACGUUGAACGAAGACUCCCGUAAAGGAAAACGUGGAUUGUUUCCUUUCAUCGUCUGAAUCGGAUUAGUCAGGGUCAUACCGGAUUCCCGAUGGCAUGUCCGUGUCCUCGACGUGUCGCCAAAUUUGGGAUACAGUUUGGAUCGUCAGUUGGGUCGCCUUCUUGGUCCUCCUUGUCUGCGUUCUGCUUUUCCUCGAAGUACUCCUCCGAUUUAUAUUCGCUGUAAUUUUGAAUGAAACAACUUGUUGGUAUUAAAAGCAAUAAAGAUUAUCAAAAACGUUCACAAACUUAACUCAUCCAUACCUUCGACUGCUCCAAAUAAAACGAAAACAUAAAUGUUUUUUGGCUGAAGUUAUUUCGGCAACAACAACAACACGCUGAUUGAAAAAUCAUCAAACAGCAAAUAGAUGUUACCCAAAUUUGAAGUUGAGUACUGAAAUAUAUUAAAUAUGAAGUUUUUUUUCAGUAUUUUUUUAUUCCUAUAAUUAUCCGAUAUUUAAAAAUAUCUCAAACUGUGAAAAAAAGAUGUUCAACAACCAUUAUUAUCUUAACUUAUAUUCUUAGAAAAUAUAACCGUGGAUGUAACAUAACACGUUGUUGAAGAAUUUUACUGGUGUGUGUCUCGAAACUGAAUCAAGAAGCCAAGGCAAUCCAUGACGACUUUUCGCGAUGGGGGUGACAGCCAAAAGUGUAAACACAGUGUGAGUACCACUUAACAAAGUUUCGGCAAGUGUCGUUGGUGCUUAACAAAUGCCUUUGUGUUCAACUGUCACCCCGAUCAUCGGAUGUCAAAAGUACAUGGUAAACAAAAAAAAUCAGCUGAUCGCAUCUGUCUCAUGGAUUGCCUAAUUGGAGGGACAUCGCUGUCAAGCUCGGUACACUGCCGCUCUUACCAUCAUUGUUUUUUGUACCUAGCGUUUUGGUACCCACUUUCUGGUCGGUUUACCCUAACUUGAUCCUGAUUCACGGGUUGUGUGUUGCUAGUACUUAUAUCAGAAAUUACAUAUUCCAAGGAGCGGACCUGGUGUGGUGGUUAGAACACAAGACUAUCACGCCGAGGACCUGGGAUCGAAUCCCACUCCCGACAUACUCACAAAAUGUGGGUAUUUCCUUCGGAAGGGAAGUAAAGCGUGGGUCCCGAGAUGAACUAGCCUAGGGCUUCGCUUCGCUUUGUUCGAUUUUAUACGUCCGCCCAUACUCUUUUGCCUCGUCUGCCAUGUGCGUUUCACUUCCUUCUCAAGAGCGCUGACGGGCUAUGGCCGUGGCUCCUCGUGUUUUCGCUCGCUCUAUCGCGGCUUUGAUGUUCUUUCGCUCCUAAAUCUUCUUCCUGUGAUCCACUGCUUUCUCUGGGUACAUUGCUCCCCCGAUUUAUUCUCCCCGGUGACGAUGAAGGCGUUCUUGAUGGCACUCACUCCACUGCUAUUCAGCGUGGUUCUCCAGCUCCUCGACGAAGGACCUUUUCACCGCAGCGUCUUCCAGUCGGCGUAUGUUAAACCGGCACUCGUCUUCAUUUUCGGUUGAUGCAGAUGUGGUCGAUUUGAUUUUCCGUAACGCCGACACGGGAAACCCAUGCCACUUUGUGCACUGGUUGGUAGAGAAAAAGCGAUUUCCCCAAUCACUACGUCAUUGCAUUGUUGCCACAAAACUCUGCAAGGUGCUCUCAAUUUCUCCUAUACACCAGGGCGUCCGAUGCUAUGCUCAUAGUCCGAGUUGUCAGAGUCAACCUUCGCAUUGAAGUCACUCAUGAGGAUCUUGAUAUCACCAUUUGGAACCUUAUCCAAGACAGCAUUCAGUCAGCUGUAGAAGUUCCCUUCAUUUCGCAUUUCGGAAGCAUCGGCUGGCGCGUAACAUUGGAUCAUGGUAAAUUUUCGUAGCCGUGUUCUGAAUUUGGCCGCAACUAUCCUCCAAAUAAUAAGUUUCCUUUUCAUGAGCGCAGCGUGAGCGCUGAACGGGACACCAACUCCAUGGGGACGAGCAGCAUGUUCACCUCGUAGGCCAGAGUAUGGCAGGAUUUGACCCUACGUCAAUCAGUAUUCUUCAAAGUUCGACAAACAGACUUCGCUCAGUUCUAGGAUCUUAUAGGAUGGAGUCUGUAUUACGUGCCAAUUGGCAGUCGUCAUCUGAUUGACUUGGAGCAGCAUAAAAGACUCUUGACGACAAAGGCUAUUUUGAACGCAUGUUCCAAGUUUGAAGCCCAUGUUCUCCUCAACAAGGAUAAGUCUAAUUCAAUUUUUACAUUCCAGUUCAAUUGCAACGUGAGUAACUUCAUUACUUGAUGUUCCAAGCAAACCCAAUUGAAUUGUUUACAUACAGUAAGAACCCACCCAAAUGCAAAUGCAAAUUGAUAUCUAUUAUUCUGACAGAAGUUUCAUCGAAAGCAUUCUAUGGGAACCGAUUCCUCCCCCUAGUUGUUGACUUGGUCUAUCCGCAAUCGGUCUCUACUGUCUACUGCUGCUGCUACUACUCCUGCUCCUGCCCCAUGGCGAUGAUUCAAAUGUAUUCACCAACUGACAAAAUGCAGCGCCAUUAUCAUCCACUCUUGAUCUACUGCAGGCAGCCUGGCUGGCAGACAAACUGGGCUGCAGUCUUUUGACUGCCACAAUGACCCUUUAGUCAGUGAACCGACCGAACCGCAAGUAGGCGGUUUUGAAGCCUUAACUGCCGCGGCAGCCGCCGCUGCCGCCACCGCCACCACUAACCGACCGGAGUCAAUCGUUUACUUAUGUUAAUAGGUUUCCUUUUCUUGGGCGAGAUUUAGCCUGACAGAGCAUGACUCUCCAGUUCGGGCGCGAUGAUCUCUUUCCCAUUAUAUUCCACUCGGUCGUUGGCUCUAGGCCUCGGUUAGCUAGCCAGCCAGCCAGCCAGAAGAAGGCGGUUUGUUUUUACGAUUGCACGCCCGUUUGUCCCUUUGCGUUGAACUAUUACACGCUGUAGUUACACUGUUGCACACGCCGCGUCGUGGUUCUCGUCAGAAUGCGUGGAAUGGUGUAAGUUUGUUCUUGUUGACUUACCACAAUCGGGUCAUAUGUCUGCAAUUAAUGAUCAACACUGUAGCUUGAUUAUUUAUGACACUGACUGUUUCGGUGAAGUCAUUACGAACGCGUUGGGGAAGUUUUUUGUGAUCCUGUUCUUCGGGAAGUGGCCGGGCAGCUCUAGAUUGAACGAGCAGAAGGCUUCCACUGAUGGAUUCCAUUUCAGGUUCAUUUUCAAUGCUUAGAGAGCCCUGAAACCACUAAAACUCUCAGUCUCAGAGUCUCAAUCAGAAACUUAAGUCUCAGAGAGAGCCAACCGCUAAGUCUUGGUACUGCCUUACCCAGUACUUUGUCGAAGUACGAUGCCUCGCGUAUCGUAGCAACUCCUCUUAAAACUCGCGUUAUAUAUCUUCAUCUCUCUACCGCUAGCGUCUUAGAGCAGUAGAGCCCCGAUAACCGCUACGCUACGAUUUUUCGCCAAUACUUCCCGUAUUGAACCGCUUACCCUGUGUUCCGUCCUCAAUUACUUGUUUGCUGGACAUACUACCUAGUAUGUUUGUAAUGGCUGAUAUUUGUCCGCCUGGGUAACUUGAGGGUUGAUACCAGCCCUGCAUGCUUCCCUCACGUGCCAGUUGAUUUUAGGGACGUCCGCAUCCUAUGUCAGUUGCCGCCAUAGAUGAGGCCUAGUUGCACGAAGGGAUAUUCAUCGAAGUGUCACUGACUCGAUGCACGCUGUACUACCAGCCUUAGUAGCCAGGUCCUCCGUUGCCAGAUAUACCAGUGAUAGCCUUCCACACACCACCAGCAAAAAGGCUGCGGAUGAAGUCUUGAAAGCGCCUGAGAAGAUUCUAAAAAUCGCAUUGCAUUGAGGUUCUAGACCUAGAGUGUUUAGCACUGCGGUGCUACCUCUGCUCCACACUUCAGAUCCGUAAAGUAUGCUUGGGACAUACAUUGCCCUAGCUACUUUAGUCAAAGUGCCAAGAGAAGCUUCAGAGAAGCGUCCAUCCAGGACUCGACACCCGGACAUGUAUCAGGUUAGACUUCUCUGGGGCGAUCUUGAAGCCGACGGUAUCAACACAUUCCACCGCACAAUCAACCGCUUGUACUCCUGGGGGUAUGCAUUCGAAAAGUGAGUUCAUCGCAAUGAGAAACAGCGUAUCUGAGAUGAUAGACCCUUGCGGGAUGCCUUUUUUCCGGGGAGGAGGUGGCUCCUGCGUUCAAAACUUGAAAACUGCGGUGACGUAGGAAGUUAGCUACGUAGUUGAACAUACGGCCUGCCCUCGGAUAUCCCUUGAGGACAAGUCAAACUGUAUCUUCGUGCAGGUUUUCACUCGACGCUUUUUCCAACAGACGAUAAUGCUCAGAAAAAAAAACGUCUCCGCACAAUAGACGCACCAAAAUAUGUGCUUGCUAUCAGUUCGUUCAUGAUUUUCCAGCUCUAUUGACAGGCGAUGGUUAACCAUCCGCUCGAGUGUUUAAUCCUCCUUCAGCGUCUUGUCCUUUCCCUCUUUAGGGAUAUGAAUAACUAAUACUACUUUUCACCCAUCAGGUAUAGCUCCAAUGUGCCAUACCAUCAAGAGCCAACCGGUCGAAAAAUGGGAGUUUCCUAAGGACUGGAUAUCCAAUACCGUCAGGACCCGUAGCCUUUCCAGUAGUGCUAUGACUGAGGGCCCAGCUAACAAGGGAAGGUUACAAUGGUGUCCCCCGGGGAUUUCAACCGGACUAUUUUUGUUGCAUUCUACAUUUGGGAAUAUGAAUAAAUCCAAAGCCUUUCGGGUGAUGGGCCAGUGGUGUAGUCAGGAGGGGCCCUCAAAGGGGCAAAUAAGGAAAAAUAUAACAUUAUUGAAAAUGCUCAAACGCCAUCAAAAUACAAAUUUCAAAAUGUAUUGUAGUAGAAACAGGCAAAUAUGCAUGAAUACAUGAUUUCGUAUCAAAUUGAAUUUAUCACAUCCGGAUCCAGUGGCGUAGCAAGGGGGGGGCGGAGGGUGCGGUCCGCACCGGGCCCCCGAAUCUACGGGGCCUCCAAAUCAGGACAGGUCUAGUGUUAUAAACCUUCCCUGAUUUGGAGGCCCCUUGAAUUGUGGGGCCCAGUUUGAAUAAAGUUCUGCCGAUUUAUCAGGCAGUUACUUCAAAGACUUCUACAAAAAAUCCUCUAUGAUUUACUUCAGAACUUUUUUCAGGGAUUGCUUAAGAAAACUUGCUAAGCAUUGGUUUACGAAUACUUACAAUGAUUGCUUCAGGAACUCCUCCUGACAUUUCUUCAAGAAUUUCAUCAAACAAUUAUCAAGAAAUCCUUCAGGAAUUCCUUUGAGUUUUUUUUGUAAGAAUUUCUUCAAGCAGUCGUUCAGAAAUACCAUUUCGGAACCGUUCAUAAAGCCAUUCAAGGAUUAUAUCAUGAAACUCUUCAAGAAAUCCUUCAGAUGAACCUCAAAGAAUUUCUCCAAGAAUGAUUUUAGAGAUUUCUUCAAGAAGGAAUCUUGCAGUAGUUCCUCAUGGAAAAUAUAUUUGAUGAUUUUUUGAGAUUUUUGAAGCCAUUCCCGAAUGGAUCCUUGGGAGAUUUUCCAAAGAAAUUUGAAUGUAUUCCCGAAGGAACUCUUGUAGAAAUGUCUGUAGGAGUUUUUGUAGAAAUGUCUAUAAACAAUUUUUAAGAAUCGCCUAGAUGAAUUCUAAGAUGUAUUAGGAAAGAAUCAUUGGGUUGAUUUUGGAGGUAUAUUUGAUGAUGUUCUGGAAGGAUUAUUACAGUACUAUGAAGUAGUACUACAAGUACUAGGAGUACUAUGAGUAAUUACUUAAAGGAUUCCUGAAAAAAAUCUGUAAGCAAAGGGAUUUUUGGAAGAACUAAUUAUAAAAUGCCUAGAUAAUUUUUUAAGAAAUCAAUGACGGAAAGCCCAAAGAAUUCCAAAUUCAUUGGUGCAAAUAAAAAAAAAAACAAUCUUCAAAAGAAUUUCCGCAGGAGGCCUUGGGUGAAUUUCUGUAAGACCCCCUGAGGAAAUUUGUGCAGGAAUUCUUUAGGGAUGAAUGUGUCCAUCCUUGUAGGGUUAUCUGAAGAAAAACUUCGAGAAAUCCAUGAACGAAUCUUUAUACGUAACUUGAAAAACAAAAUCCUUGUUAAAAAGAUUAAUUUUUUACUGGAAUUUCUUAAAAGAUUCUUGAACGAAUUGUGAAAAAGGACUUAAAAACAUUGCCUAAGGAAUCUUUGAAUGAUUUUCUACAGAAAUUAUAUUUAUAUAUAUAUAUUUAUAAUUUAUGAGGAAAUCCCUGCAGGUAUGAUUACUAAAGAAAUGCUUGAACAAAUUCUUAAGAAAUCCUUGAAAGGACUUCCAAGAAAAAUCGUAUGGGGCAGUGCAAAAAGAACCCUUGAAGAAGUUUCUAAAAAAAUCUUGAAGGAACUCCAAAGUAUUCCUCUGAAAAAAUGCUGAAGAGAACAUGUGGGAAUCGUUUGUGGAUAUCUUUAAGAAACUCUUUAUAGAGUUCUUGGGAUUACAUAAUACUCAGAGAUGAACCAGCCCAGGGCUGAAAAUCUCUUUAAUAAAGACAAAAAAAAAAAAAUACAUAAUACUGAAGAAAAUCCUUCAAGGAGUUGAAGAAGAAGUUUCCUAAGGAAUCGCUGUUGCAACUUUCGCAGAAAAUCUUCGAGGAAUUUGUGAAGAAGUUCUUGAAGUAUUUCCCAGAUGAAUCGUAAAAGAUAUCCAAGAAAGAGUUCUUGGAGCUCCGCACUUGAGAAAAAAAUAUUGAUGAAAUCGUUAGAAACAUUUCGUUAGAAUUUUCGUGAAAGAAAUCCGGACGAAACUGGUGUAAUCGCUAAAGAAACCGUUAAAGGUAUCAAUAGAAAAAAGCUGAUAAAAACCUUGGAAGAAUUCCUAAAGGAUUCAUUGAGGAAUUCCAGUAGAAUCUCUUGGAGCAAUUCCUGUGAGAAUUUUUACAUCAUUUAUUACAAUUUUUUAAGUAUUUCUUCGGGUUUUUUUUUAUCUUUUUCAGUAAUUAAUUUGGAAACCCGUGUACAGAUUCGUUAAGGAAUAUCUUUAAACAUUAAUUUGAGAAUCCAUUCGGCUAUUGCUCUGAAAAUUUCCUUUGACGAUAUAUUUGAUUAAUUGUUAGGCAUAUCCUUUGGAAACUUCUUCAACUAAUUCUCAGAAAUGCUACAAAAAUGGCUUCUGAUUUUUAUUUCUACGAACUUCUUUAGAUUUCUAUUUCUACGAAAAUUUUGUUGGGAAUUCCGUCUGCAACUUUUCACUGACUUUUUUUUCGACAAUUCGUUUGAGAAAACCUCUGGUAAUAACUUUCGGAAUAACUUUAACACUUUUCUGGAAACUUCUAUGCCAAUCCCUACGGGAAUUGAUUGGGUAAUUCAUUUGGCAUUUUUUUGGUAAUUUAUUCGGCGAGUUUUCUGUGAGUUACCUGAAAAAAAGUUUCAAAUAUCUUUUGGCGGAUUUUUUUGGAAAAUUCUUGGGAAAUGCUUUGAUUGGAUUUGAUCCGAAAGUUCCUAUAAGAGUAUUCUUGGAAUUUACUCUGCAAAUGUUUUUGAAAACUAUUUCGGCAUAACUCUCUUGGAAUUUCUCGGCAAUAAUAUUCAAAGUUGAAUGAAGUUAUUAUUUUUGAAAAUAUCUUUGGCAGAACUUUUUGAAACUCUUUGGGUUUGGAAAUUUAUAACGGGAUUCAGCAAUUUCUCUAAAAGUUCUACCAGCAGUUCCUUUGCUCAUAUACCUGACAAUUACUAUUGUAAUUCUUUCAAUAGCACAGCGUAACAAAAAUUAACUUUUGGUCUGUCUCAAGAGCAAACUAAUGUGUCUCUGACAGAUUAUGGGCCGCGGUUAUGUUAGGUACGAUACAAACCACCCUCCAAAAAUUGCAUGCAAGUUUACAUAUUAACAUAAAAUGCUUAAAUCUUUCAAAUUUGAUUUGAUAAAACGAAAUAUUUUGCGUGAGUCGUAAAUUUAGAUGUCAAUUGACCAUUUUACCUUUUUUGCUUAAAAAAAAUAUUUCCAUGCUUAACGGCUUGCAGUCAAAAAAGUCUGAAAUAGCAUAUUUUGCCCUAUAAAUUGAGGUAUAGCUCAAAAUUGUGGCGUCCUGAAACAAAUCUGAGCCCGGAUUCGGAUUCAGCGGCCCAGACACUGUCAGAGACACAUACAGGUACUUUGAAAAUUAAUUAGUCGACUCGUUUGUAAAUUUAAGUGGCAAAUUUUAAAAGCUUCUUUGGUAAUUCCUCUGUAAAUUUCUUCUGAUAAUUCUUUAUUAAAUUCCGUCUGUUAUAACUUUAGAUGUUCUAUGAGAUACAUCUUUGCAAAUUAAAAAUAAAUCCACGAAUUUACAACGGAACGACCGAGAAAAAUCUCAAGAGAAUUACCAAAAGAAUUUCCAAAAAAAUAAGAUGAUUACUAGAAGAGAUCACAAACAAUUUCCUAAAAAUGUAUGAAGAAAUUUCUAUAGAAUUUCUAGGAGGAAUUUCUGUGAGAAUUGAAAGAAUUCUUUUUUUUUUGAGUUUCUAAAGUAUUCAUUGGAGGAAUUUAUUAAUCCUUGAAUAGGCUUAUUAGAGGAAUUUCUAAAAAAAAUCUAGCAAAAACACUCAAUGCACCCCCUGGAGGAAUUCCUAUGGAAUUUCUUGGAGGAAUUUGUGUAAGAAUCUCCGGAAAACCCUUGCAGUUGUAAUUAAAUAAAUACAUGAAGAAAUCCUUGCAUAAAAGACCCCACAAGAUUUCUUGUACAAAAUUAUUUGUAAAAUACCUGGAAAAAUCAGUUAAGGAAUGAAUGAAUGAAAUCAAUUGAAGAAACUCUAAGAGAAUACUUGAAUAAAAUCUGAAUCUUCGGGCAAAUCGCAAGAGAAUUGCUAAAGAAAUCUCUGGAAAAAAUCCUGAAGGAAUUUUGGGAGCAAUUUCUAAAGGCUGCCUUUAAGGAAAUCCUUUAGAAUUUUGAAUAACCUUAGAACAUUUCCUAAGCCCUUGGAGUUGUUUUGAUAAGAUAGGAUAUCUGUUUCUUUACUAUUUAGCCAUUUACGCUUCCAUUUUUAUCCCACUCAAAACAAUGGAAUGAAGCGUUUUUGUUCUGUUUCUUAUUUUUGUAUAUUUGUUAGAAGUGAGCACGGAUUAUAUAAAAAAUAACGUAAUAAUUCUGGAGAAAUCAAUCAUAAAUUCUGGAGAAAUAGAUUUUUUUGAAAAGUGCCCAGAAGAAUACUAGCAAAAAUUCCUGAGAAAACUCCUAGAGUUGAUGGAUAAAUUGAGUUGAUUGAUAAAUUGAAAAAAUUCGUUAGAGGAAGUCCAGAAGGAUUUUUCGAAAGAAUUCCUACAGAACUCCUACAGAACUCCUACAGAAGUCCAUCUAAAAAUUUAAUUUAAUUAAUUUAAUUUAAUUACUUCAAUUUCUUCAGUAGGAAUCCUUGGAGAUUUUGUUAAUUUAAUGGAGAAAUCCUAUGAUGAAUCUCUUAGUGAAACCUUAGACAAACUUCUUGAAGAAUCCUUGAAGAUUUUUUUUUAAAAAGGGAAUUUUUGGUGGGAUUUCUGAAGUAAUCUUAGGAAGUAAUUCUUAAGAAAUCUUUUAAAGAACACUUAGAUAAGUGAUGAAUGCUUGAGGAAAUUCCAAGUUUAAUUACACUGCUCGACGAAAUUUUACAAAAUUUGGUGUUAUGAGAUGAGAAAAAUAAUAACAGGGGUCUGGCACCCUAGAAGUGUCACAGUGAAAGAAUUUUUGAAAAAUAUUGGACCGGGCCUUCACAGUUCAAAACCAAAGUUUGU